GACGAACGCUGGCGGCGUGCUUAACACAUGCAAGUCGAACGGUAAGGCCCUCCGGGGUACACGAGUGGCGAACGGGUGAGUAACACGUGGGUGAUCUGCCCUGCACUUCGGGAUAAGCCUGGGAAACUGGGUCUAAUACCGGACAGGACUCCUGGCUUGAUGGUUGGGGGGGGAAAGCAUUUGCGGUGUGGGCUGGGCCCGCGGCCUACCAGCUUGUUGGUGGGGUAAUGGCCUACCCAGGCGACGACGGGGAGCCGGCCUGAGAGGGUGACGGGUCACACUGGGACUGAGAUACGGCCCAGACUCCUACGGGAGGCAGCAGUGGGAAAUAUUGCACAAUGGGCGCAAGCCUGAUGCAGCGACGCCGCGUGAGGGAUGACGGCCUUCGGGUUGUAAACCUCUUUCAGCUAUGACGAAGCGCAAGUGACGGUAGUAGCAGAAGAAGGACCGGCCAACUACGUGCCAGCCGCCGCAGUAA
This 478-nucleotide ribosomal RNA is filed under the name uncultured bacterium. RNAcentral describes it as "partial 16S ribosomal RNA". It matches the Rfam family "Bacterial small subunit ribosomal RNA", at positions 28 to 523 of the family's 1533-position model. The record is from RNAcentral.